GCACGCGUAGUUUAAUGGAUAAAACGCGCCUCUCCGGAAGGUGAACUGUGGGUUCGAUUCCCGCCGUGUGCA
RNAcentral lists this transfer RNA (72 nucleotides) under Roseburia sp. CAG:303. It matches the Rfam family "tRNA". Rfam says of the family: Transfer RNA (tRNA) molecules are approximately 80 nucleotides in length. Their secondary structure includes four short double-helical elements and three loops (D, anti-codon, and T loops). The record is from Rfam by way of RNAcentral. Lineage: Bacteria; Bacillati; Bacillota; Clostridia; Lachnospirales; Lachnospiraceae. RNAcentral also lists the same sequence under 3 other names.